UACGGAGGGUGCAAGCGUUGUCCGGAUUUAUUGGGUUUAAAGGGUGCGUAGGCGGCUUUUUAAGUCAGCGGUGAAAUACUUCAGCUUAACUGGAGGACUGCCGUUGAUACUGGAAGGCUUGAGUACUGAUGAAGUGGGCGGAAUUGAUAGUGUAGCGGUGAAAUGCGUAGAUAUUAUCAAGAACACCGAUUGCGAAGGCAGCUCACUAAGGAGUAACUGACGCUGAGGCACGAAAGCGUGGGUAGCAAACAGG
RNAcentral lists this ribosomal RNA (253 nucleotides) under uncultured bacterium. RNAcentral's name for it is "partial 16S ribosomal RNA". It matches the Rfam family "Bacterial small subunit ribosomal RNA", at positions 524 to 776 of the family's 1533-position model. The record is from RNAcentral.